Molecule: ribosomal RNA, 292 nt
Filed under: uncultured bacterium
Lineage: Bacteria
Description: partial 16S ribosomal RNA
Rfam family: Bacterial small subunit ribosomal RNA
Source: RNAcentral
GGAUUAGAUACCCUGGUAGUCCACACCGUAAACGAUGAGUGCUAGUUGUCUGCAGGCAUGCCUGUAGGUGACGCAGCUAACGCAUUAAGCACUCCGCCUGGGGAGUACGGCCGCAAGGUUAAAACUCAAAGAAAUUGACGGGGGCCCGCACAAGCGGUGGAGCAUGUGGUUUAAUUCGAAGCAACGCGCAGAACCUUACCUACGCUUGACAUGCCUGGACGACUCCGAGAGAUCGGUUUCUCCCUUCGGGGCCAGUGCACAGGUGCUGCAUGGCUGUCGUCAGCUCGUGCCG